Molecule: ribosomal RNA, 423 nt
Filed under: uncultured bacterium
Lineage: Bacteria
Description: bacterial SSU rRNA
Rfam family: Bacterial small subunit ribosomal RNA
Source: RNAcentral
UGAGGAAUAUUGGUCAAUGGGCGAGAGCCUGAACCAGCCAAGUCGCGUGAAGGAUGACGGCCCUACGGGUUGUAAACUUCUUUUGUCAGGGAACAAAGGCGGGGACGUGUCCCCGGAUGAGUGUACCUGAAGAAAAAGCAUCGGCUAACUCCGUGCCUGCAGCCGCGGUAAUACGGAGGAUGCGAGCGUUAUCCGGAUUUAUUGGGUUUAAAGGGUGCGUAGGCGGACGCUUAAGUCAGCGGUAAAAUUGCGGGGCUCAACCUCGUCGAGCCGUUGAAACUGGGUGCCUUGGGUGGGCGAGAAGUACGCGGAAUGCGUGGUGUAGCGGUGAAAUGCAUAGAUAUCACGCAGAACUCCGAUUGCGAAGGCAGCGUACCGGCGCCCAACUGACGCUGAAGCACGAAGGCGUGGGUAUCGAACAGG